UCGCCGCCUCCUCCUACCUCGCUGCGACCGCCACACCACAGGGAGGGUCCAGUCCAGAUGGCGGGAGCGGGAGCCCGAUUGUCAUUGGGGCGCGGCAUCGCGUCGCGCCUUCGUGUCCCUCCUCCUUGCCGCCUCGCCCACGCCGCCUCCGCCUCCGCCGAGAUCACUAGUUUGAAGGACGAGGAUUGCAGUGGCUUCUUACAUUGGUUGCAGCGGAAGGCGGGGACUCAGAUUUCUGCAGUACUAACUCUAGGAAGUUCAGCCUUUGGAAGGUCAUUAUUUGCAUUGGAGCCCAUAAAAGAGGGGGACUGUAUAAUGGAAGUACCUUAUGAUGUUCAACUUACUCAAGAUAAAUUUCCUGUAGAAGUCCGUAUACUUCUAGAUAAUGUUGUUGGCGAUACAGCCAAGGUUGCUGUGCUCCUCAUGAUGGAGCAACACUUGGGACAUGUAGAAUCAGGAUGGGAGCCAUAUGUAAAAUCUCUUCCAUGCAAAGGUCAGAUGCAUAACAUGAUGUUAUGGGAUCUGAAUGAGCUUCAUAUGGUCCGAAAUAGCUCAAUUUAUAAUGAAGCCAUUGAACAGAAGGAUCAGGCUAAAAAGGAGUUUUCAGCAGUGAAGCCAAUUCUUGAACAUUUCCCACAUUUGUUUGGAGAAACCAACGUGGAGGAUUUCAUGCUUGCUUCUGCAUUGGUUUCAUCGCGAGCUUGGUGGACUUUGAGAGGUGUAUCACUGAUUCCAUUUGCAGAUUUUCUUAACCAUGAUGGCUUUUCUAAUUCUAUAUUACUAUACGAUGAGCAGAAAGAUGUUUGUGAGGUCAUUGCUGACAGGAGUUAUGCUGUUGGUGAACAGGUUAUGAUAAGAUACGGAAAAUUCUCGAAUGCUACACUAGCACUUAACUUUGGAUUUACAUUUUCUAGAAAUGUAUAUGAUCAGGUACAUAUUUGGAUAGAUAUGCCAGAGCAAGACCUAUUAUGUAGGGAGAAGCUUGACAUAUGGGAAAGGCAUCAUUCUCCAAAAGCUGAAGAUAUGUUCAGUUGUGGUCGCACUAAAAUUUCUUUUGUCAUAAAGUAUGUGGUUAGGAAGUUAUUUACAUCUAACUUGGUUCAUCCUUCAAUUAUUUGCUAUGUUAUCUUUGCAACAUUUAGUAAAAGGAAUACCAAGAAAUUUAAUUGUUUAUGUGAAGGUAAUUUAAAACCUGGCUAUAGGGACAUAUUUUCUGACAGCGCAGAAAUUACAGAAGUUUAAGCUAGUGUGUCUACCAUAUUGUAAAAUAAGAGAUGCAGAUGAUUUUAUGAAGAGUAAAGCACAUGGCCGGUCCUUAAACCUGUGCCAAUAUGUCAUCUAGGUCCUUGAGCUUUGCAGGAACACAACUGUCGCCAUUGGGGUCACGGCGAUUUGCUCGCAGAUAAGGAAGAGGAUGGGCUUGAUUUGCGGGAUGAGGGGCAGGCCCAUGUGGUCGUGCAAGAAGGGCGGUGCUGCUCCUACGCGACGAGAGGGGCGGUGCAGGAGCAGCACGGCCGUCAUGGCCUGUAGCAGCGGCGGGGAAGGAGAGAAACAGAGGAAAGAGUCACGCUGGCACAUAGUCAACGUGCCACAUAGAUGUUUUGGACCUGCGAUGACACAUUUAACAAGUUUAGCGGUAUGGAUCUGCAAUUUUGGGGUUUGGGGACAUGGAUGACACACCCGCACAAGUUUAAGGACUGGCCGUGCACUUUACUCUUUUAUGAAUUCAGUUUUGUUAAGUUCCUGUACAGUUUAGUGAUUUAGAACGAAAUCAAAAGACUGGACAGUGGUUAACUGUCAACUAAUCUAACACAGCAGAAUGCCUCAUACUCAAGUCCAAGUCAUCUGGUCAUGUUUGACUAGGAUCGCAAAUAGUGCCUGGUCCAGCUUGAGUGAAAUUUAAAAAAGCCAACAUCUUUAUUGUCUUCUGGAGAAUUCACGCAAUCGCGCUGGUAGUUUUCCAACUAUUUCACAUAUUGAUUCUUUCUGGAAUGCAUUCUAAUAUCUGAAAUAUCUAUAAUCAAGUCAAAGUAAUAGCAAGUUUCGCUAGAGCUCUAGUACGAUAAGAACAUUCUUUCUGUUUGUAUUGCUAAAUAUGAAGAAUGGAAACAGGAAAGCCAAAUCCUCUAGAGGCAAAGGGAUCGGGGUUCCCGAGAUCUUGCGUGCAUUUUUCCGGGUUUUCUAUUCCACAUCACUUGAAGAACUUGAAGAGAUGACGAUGGAGGCUGCUAGAAAUGAUGGUCGACUUGCCAGACGUCCUCUGGAA
Phragmites australis (common reed) is the source of this 2266-nucleotide RNA transcript. RefSeq lists it as uncharacterized. The record is from RefSeq and is a predicted model, not a curated record. Lineage: Eukaryota; Viridiplantae; Streptophyta; Magnoliopsida; Poales; Poaceae. The transcript has 13 exons.